UUUCUGGAGGAAGGUUCGUCCGCUCCAGGUUAGUCGGGAGCUAAGGUGAGGCCUAACGGCGUAGCCGAUGCACAGACGGUAGAGAUUCCGUCACCACCAAAAGAGUUAAACACAGGGACACAUAUGAAGUCUCGGAGCCGGGUGUUGGUUCCGGUAGCGAUCGAGGGAAGUUAGUACCGAAGUCCGAGAUGGAAGAUGGCGAGAAAAGCUGUGUGUAUUUCUGCGGUGCCCGUACCGCAAACCGACACAGGUAGGUAGGAAGAAGAUUCUAAGGCCAACGGGAGAAGGGUUGUUAAGGAACUCGGCAAAUUGACCCCGUAACUUCGGGAGAAGGGGUGCUCCAGAGAUGGAGCCGCAGAGAAUCGGCCCAAGCAACUGUUUACCAAAAACACAGGUUUGUGCUAAAUCGAAAGAUGACGUAUACGAGCUGACGCCUGCCCGGUGCUGGAAGGUUAAGAGGAGAUGUGCAAGCAUUGAAUCGAAGCCCCAGUGAACGGCGGCCGUAACUAUAACGGUCCUAAGGUAGCGAAAUUCCUUGUCAGGUAAGUUCUGACCCGCAUGAAAGGCGUAAUGAUUUGGGCACUGUCUCAACAGCCCGCCCGGCGAAAUUGUAGUACCGGUGAAGAUGCCGGUUACCCGCGACAAGACGGAAAGACCCCAUGGAGCUUUACUGUAGCCUAAUAUUGGGUUUCGAUGUUGCAUGCACAGGAUAGAUGGGACACUGGGAAACAGGAGCUUUGGCUUCUGCGGAGUGGCCGUUGGGAUACCAUCCUUGCGAUAUUGGAAUUCUAACCUGCGGCUCUGAAUCGAGUCGGGGGACAUUGUUAGGUGGGCAGUUUGACUGGGGCGGUCGCCUCCUAAAGAGUAACGGAGGCGUUCAAAGGUUCGCUCAGCUUGAACGGAAAUCAAGCAAAAGAGUGCAAACGCAGAAGCGAGCCUAACUGCGAGACUGACGGGUCGAGCAGUAACGAAAGUUGGAGUUAGUGAUCCGGUGGUAUGUGAGUGGAAAUGCCAUCGCUCAACGGAUAAAAGUUACCCUGGGGAUAACAGGCUGAUCUCCCCCAAGAGUCCACAUCGACGGGGAGGUU
RNAcentral lists this ribosomal RNA (1088 nucleotides) under human gut metagenome. Its description in RNAcentral is "bacterial LSU rRNA". It matches the Rfam family "Bacterial large subunit ribosomal RNA", at positions 1351 to 2518 of the family's 2925-position model. The record is from RNAcentral.